UGAGUAACACGUAUCCAACCUGCCGAUAACUCGGGGAUAGCCUUUCGAAAGAAAGAUUAAUAUCCGAUAGUAUAUUAAAACCGCAUGGUUUUACUAUUAAAGAAUUUCGGUCAUCGAUGGGGAUGCGUUCCAUUAGGUUGUUGGCGGGGUAACGGCCCACCAAGCCUUCGAUGGAUAGGGGUUCUGAGAGGAAGGUCCCCCACAUUGGAACUGAGACACGGUCCAAACUCCUACGGGAGGCAGCAGUGAGGAGUAUUGGUCAAUGGACGAGAGUCUGAACCAGCCAAGUAGCGUGAAGGAUGACUGCCCUAUGGGUUGUAAACUUCUUUUAUACGGGAAUAAAGUGAGGCACGUGUGCCUUUUUGUAUGUACCGUAUGAAUAAGGAUCGGCUAACCCCGUGCCAGCAGCCGCGGUAAUACGGAGGAUCCGAGCGUUAUCC
Molecule: ribosomal RNA, 440 nt
Filed under: uncultured bacterium
Lineage: Bacteria
Description: bacterial SSU rRNA
Rfam family: Bacterial small subunit ribosomal RNA
Source: RNAcentral